UUAAAAGGACCACCUGAGCACCAUGUUGGUGUUAACCCAUCUGAUGUGAAGUUGUCACAGAUGUCCACGCUGUCCAUUGGUUGCAAAACAAGUACAAAAUCAGGUUUUAAAAGGUUUCAGGUGUUUGUUACAAAAGGUAAAUUUUAUAUUGACGCCUCGAUGAUUGACAAAUAUUAGUUUAAAACAUGCACUUUGGUUAGCAUUGGGUUUCUAAUUAGCGGUUUCCUUAGGCACCAGCUAGUUGAGUAGACGUGGAUCAGCAAGGCAAGUGGUGUUCUGUAUUAUAUUGGAAGAAAAAAGCACAGCUGGUGUCGUGAUGAAAACCUAAACUGAAAUUGAGCUGGAAUUACCGGCAGAUUGUUCAGUGGUGAUCAUCGGUUUUCUGAACACGAAAGUUAUAUAUUUUAACUUUAAAUUAAGGAAUAGAUUUUUAUACAUUUCUAACAAUCACUAUUAUCUUUUAUAGGGUUAAAAGGACCACCUGAGCACCAUGUUGGUGUUAACCCAUCUGAUGUGAAGUUGUCACAGAUGUCCACGCUGUCCAUUGUGCAUGAAGGGUCAAUGGAAGAGCAGAACUUGAUUCCACAAGCAGUGUCCACUGAUGUUACUUGAGAAUUGUCCAGAAGCAGUGAUCAAAACUAGACCCCUUCUUUGUUCAUUGUCUUGGCAUCAGUAUUUUUGUAAAUAAAACAUGUAUUAAAAAUACA
Molecule: long non-coding RNA, 707 nt
Organism: Clarias gariepinus (North African catfish)
Lineage: Eukaryota; Metazoa; Chordata; Actinopteri; Siluriformes; Clariidae
Exons: 3
Source: RefSeq, a predicted model, not a curated record